RNAcentral lists this ribosomal RNA (130 nucleotides) under Leucobryum scabrum. RNAcentral describes it as "partial 26S rRNA". It matches the Rfam family "Eukaryotic large subunit ribosomal RNA", at positions 1 to 130 of the family's 3401-position model. Lineage: Eukaryota; Viridiplantae; Streptophyta; Bryopsida; Dicranales; Leucobryaceae. The record is from RNAcentral.
AGACCUCUGAUCAGAAAAGACUACCCGCUGAGUUUAAGCAUAUCACUAAGCGGAGGAGAAGAAACUAACCAGGAUUUCCCUAGUAACGGCGAGCGAACCGGAAAGAGCCCAGCUUGAAAAUCGCGGCGCA